This 506-nucleotide ribosomal RNA is filed under the name uncultured bacterium. Its description in RNAcentral is "partial 16S ribosomal RNA". It matches the Rfam family "Bacterial small subunit ribosomal RNA", at positions 30 to 523 of the family's 1533-position model. The record is from RNAcentral.
AUUGAACGCUGGCGGCAGGCCUAACACAUGCAAGUCGAACGGUAACAGGAAGCAGCUUGCUGCUUCGCUGACGAGUGGCGGACGGGUGAGUAAUGUCUGGGAAACUGCCUGAUGGGGGGGGAUAACUACUGGAAACGGUAGCUAAUACCGCAUAACGUCGCAAGACCAAAGAGGGGGACCUUCGGGCCUCUUGCCAUCGGAUGUGCCCAGAUGGGAUUAGCUAGUAGGUGGGGUAACGGCUCACCUAGGCGACGAUCCCUAGCUGGUCUGAGAGGAUGACCAGCCACAAUGGAACUGAGACACGGUCCAGACUCCUACGGGAGGCAGCAGUGGGGAAUAUUGCACAAUGGGCGCAAGCCUGAUGCAGCCAUGCCGCGUGUAUGAAGAAGGCCUUCGGGUUGUAAAGUACUUUCAGCGGGGAGGAAGGCGAUAAGGUUAAUAACCUUGUCGAUUGACGUUACCCGCAGAAGAAGCACCGGCUAACUCCGUGCCAGCCGCCGCAGUAA